CCUACGGGGGGCAGCAGUGGGGAAUAUUGGACAAUGGGGGCAACCCUGAUCCAGCCAUGCCGCGUGUGUGAAGAAGGCCCUCGGGUUGUAAAGCACUUUCAGUGAGGAAGAACGCCUGGUGGUUAAUACCCAUCAGGAAAGACAUCACUCACAGAAGAAGCACCGGCUAACUCCGUGCCAGCAGCCGCGGUAAUACGGAGGGUGCGAGCGUUAAUCGGAAUUACUGGGCGUAAAGCGCGCGUAGGUGGCUUGAUAAGCCGGUUGUGAAAGCCCCGGGCUCAACCUGGGAACGGCAUCCGGAACUGUCAAGCUAGAGUGCAGGAGAGGAAGGUAGAAUUCCCGGUGUAGCGGUGAAAUGCGUAGAGCUCGGGAGGAAUACCAGUGGCGAAGGCGGCCUUCUGGACUGACACUGACACUGAGGUGCGAAAGCGUGGGUAGCAAACAGGAUUAGAUACCCCGGUAGUC
Molecule: ribosomal RNA, 465 nt
Filed under: Vreelandella stevensii
Lineage: Bacteria; Pseudomonadati; Pseudomonadota; Gammaproteobacteria; Oceanospirillales; Halomonadaceae
Description: partial 16S ribosomal RNA
Rfam family: Bacterial small subunit ribosomal RNA
Source: RNAcentral